GAUGAAGAACGUAGCGAAAUGCGAUACUUGGUGUGAAUUGCAGAAUCCCGUGAACCAUCGAGUCUUUGAACGCAAGUUGCGCCCGAAGCUAUUAGGCCGAGGGCACGCCUGCCUGGGCGUCACACGUCGUUGCCCCCCCAUCUACUCCUUCGGGAUUGCGGGGGGCGGAUGAUGGCCUCUCGUGCGCCUCGUCGCGCGGUUGGCCUAAAUGCCAAGUCCUCGGCGACGCACGCCACGACAAUCGGUGGUUGCGAAACCUCGGUUGCCUGUCGUGUGCGGUCGUCGCGCAUCGAGGGCUCGAAAAAAUUGCCGGGCUUCGGCUCGACUUUCAACGCGACCCCAGGUCAGGCGGGGUUACCCGCUGAAUUUAAGCAUAUCAAUAAGCGGAGGA
Molecule: unclassified non-coding RNA, 391 nt
Filed under: soil metagenome
Description: partial contains 5.8S ribosomal RNA, internal transcribed spacer 2, and large subunit ribosomal RNA
Rfam family: 5.8S ribosomal RNA (bases 1-122)
Source: RNAcentral